UGCUGCCAUGUUCCCACCUUGAUGAUAAUGGACUGAACCUCUGAACCUGUGUUUCACCUAGAUGCAUUAUCUGUGGGUGUUGGAUCCCUGGAGCUGGAGUUGUGAGCUGCAACAUGGAUGAUGGGAAUUGAACACGGGUCCUCGGGAAGAGCAACCAACCAGUCCUUUUAACUGCUGAGCCAUCUCCACAGCCCUGGAAGUCCCAUCGCCCCAGGCCUGUUAAGUUCCUAUCUGCAUAAUCUAAAUAGCAACUUUCUGACCUGC
This is a long non-coding RNA of Mastomys coucha (southern multimammate mouse), 264 nucleotides long. RefSeq lists it as uncharacterized. The transcript has 2 exons. Lineage: Eukaryota; Metazoa; Chordata; Mammalia; Rodentia; Muridae. The record is from RefSeq and is a predicted model, not a curated record.